AAGUCGUAACAAGGUCUCCGUAGGUGAACCUGCGGAGGGAUCAUUAGAAUUUCACUUUCUCUUUCUCUCCCGAGAAGAAGAGCUAAGGCGUGGUUCGUACCAUGUUCUCUAUUUUAACUUUCUAUUAAACGUACAUUCGCUCAACCUCUCUUCCGAGACUCGAACAAUGACACUUUUUAACAAACAACUCAAAAAACAAAAACACGACUCGCAACAACGGAUAUCUUGGUUCUC
This 234-nucleotide unclassified non-coding RNA is filed under the name fungal sp. RNAcentral describes it as "partial internal transcribed spacer region". The stretch from base 1 to 46 matches the Rfam family "Eukaryotic small subunit ribosomal RNA", at positions 1786 to 1831 of the family's 1831-position model. The record is from RNAcentral. Lineage: Eukaryota; Fungi.